UACGUAGGUGGCGAGCGUUGUCCGGAUUUACUGGGUGUAAAGGGCGCGUAGGCGGGUAAGUAAGUCAGUCGUGAAAUACCGAGGCUCAACCUCGGAGCUGCGAUUGAAACUGCAUAUCUUGAGUAUCGGAGAGGAAAGCGGAAUUCCUAGUGUAGCGGUGAAAUGCGUAGAUAUUAGGAGGAACACCGGUGGCGAAGGCGGCUUUCUGGACGACAACUGACGCUGAGGCGCGAAAGUGUGGGGAGCAAAC
RNAcentral lists this ribosomal RNA (250 nucleotides) under uncultured prokaryote. RNAcentral's name for it is "partial 16S ribosomal RNA". It matches the Rfam family "Bacterial small subunit ribosomal RNA", at positions 524 to 773 of the family's 1533-position model. The record is from RNAcentral.